This 196-nucleotide ribosomal RNA is filed under the name uncultured Anoxybacillus sp. Its description in RNAcentral is "partial 16S ribosomal RNA". It matches the Rfam family "Bacterial small subunit ribosomal RNA", at positions 1187 to 1382 of the family's 1533-position model. The record is from RNAcentral. Lineage: Bacteria; Bacillati; Bacillota; Bacilli; Caryophanales; Anoxybacillaceae.
AAAUCAUCAUGCCCCUUAUGACCUGGGCUACACACGUGCUACAAUGGGCGGUACAAAGGGUCGCGAACCCGCAAGGGGGAGCCAAUCCCAAAAAGCCGCUCUCAGUUCGGAUUGCAGGCUGCAACUCGCCUGCAUGAAGCCGGAAUCGCUAGUAAUCGCGGAUCAGCAUGCCGCGGUGAAUACGUUCCCGGGCCUU